GGACAGAGCAAGGACUUGGAGUGACACAGGCUAAAUCCAGGCCUCUGUCCACUCCUCCGACUGCCUCUCUCCUCCCUGUCCCUUUCUUUAAGAUGCUAAGGAGCAUUUGUCAGACUCCUGGAGGAGAAAUAUUGUUUUCAGUGAUUCCCAAGCCUAUUUGUCAGUUGAAACUCAUUUAUUUUCUUCCUUCUUUUCUCAUUUUCUUUUUUAAGUGCAGAGUGCCUUUUGGGAAUCAGAUACUAGGGACUCAAGGACUCCUGGCUUGUCCCCUUGUCUCCAAAGCCCCAUCCUCACAGCUCAGGCAGCUGGGUGCCUGUGGUGUGCUCACUGGGCUGGAAGCUCCAGACGGGGCAGGAGGGAGCCUGACCAUUCUCUGCAGUGUGGUGGCCCCAGGGCCUGGUGCUUGAUACACACACACACACGUGUGCAUAUACAUAUGUAUGUAUUUAUAUUUGUUUGUUGGUAGCAAAUGUUUAUUUCUUAUAGCUCUCAGUAGCCAGAAGGGCCAUCCUAAGCCAGCCAGUCUUGCUUGCUGACUGGAGAAAUAAAUGCCUCUUCUGCCAGGUAGCUUGGAGCACAAGGGCAUAGGUGAAAACACGGGCCUCGGGGGCCUCACAUCUGAGUCCCAUUCUGCCCCCUCAGAGCUGCGAGACCUGGGGCAAGUCCCUUUCUCCUCUGGGCCACAGGCAUUCUCAUGGGCCUCCCUCCCGGGCUUUUGUGCCAAUUCAGGAGGCAUGCAAGCCUCUGGGACAGUGGGCCAUCCCAUGGAGAUGAGCUACUGCUAGGCUGCAGCCUUCAGAGGAAGAAUUUGAAUUAAACAGGGAGAGAAGUCACACCACCUCAGGGAACCAUCUAAGUCUGUGUUGUCUGAAGCAGUAGCCAGUUGAGACCUGUGGCUAUUUACUUUCAGCAGAUAAUUAAGUUAAAUUAAGCACAGUUCCUUCUGCACAGUAGCCACAUCACAGGUAUUCGGUAGCCACAUCUGGAGAGUGGCUACUCUAUUGGACAGUGCAGAUGGGGACAUGUCCACCAUGGCAAAGAGCCCAAUGGGACUGCACCAAGUCCCACUAUGUUGUGUCAUGCUUAUUGUUUUCAUGUCCUAACACUGCUAAUGACACAUAGCCUAGUGGAAGUCCCCUUGGAUCUGCUUUUUGGAGAAAGAGGGGAACAUGCAUUUGAAAUCAUCCACUACAUGAUUUUAUUUGCUCCUACACUGAUUGAUGGAUUGACUUUUGAGACAGGGGCUUGCUCGGUCACUAAGACUAGAGUGCAGUGGUGUGAUCAUGCUCACUGAGCUCCUGGCCUCAAGCCAUCCUCCAACCUCAGCCUCCCAAAGUGCUGGGAUUACAGGCGGGAGCCGCUGUGUCUGAUCACACCUAGUUUUCUUUUAGAUGCAAAUAUCCAAAACACUUGCAGAGUUAGCUGAAAUUGGUUAAGGGUUCUCUCACCCAUCUUAUUCCAUCACUUGCUCUAUAGCCCUUUCUUAGCACCUAGGAGCAGCCUGGACUUCAGCUCAGCCCAGGUCAGGGUCACAGUGUCCCACAGCGUUAGUGAUGUCCAGACGAACGAGGCUUUUACUCUACUUCCUAGGCUGGUGCCCCCAGCAUCUAGACUGCAUCAAGACCACAGGUUCCUCUCUCUCCUGAAGGACUGUCUGCCACGGGGGACUCCCUGACAUUGUCCCACACAUGCUAUCAAGGCAGAGGGUGACGAGCCCAGAGCCCAAUCCCCAGUUGACACUCUGUCCAUGAAUUUAAGUCCCCCAAAGAAUGCCCCUAAUGUCCACUAGAGCCCUCUACACGACCCUGUCAGCAGUGAUGGCUAUUACAUUUGUGUGUCUAGUUGGAGUUCCAAUUCUGCCCCUGCAAUUGAUUAGUUGUGUGACAUGAGCAUGUGACAUAAACUUUUUGAGCCUCGGUUGACCCUUCUGGAAAGCGAAGACUCUGUUAUCUCGCUCACCAUGUGGCAGUGAGUUCACAUGAGAUGGUGCAGUGUUUCCAAACUUUUCCAGCCCAUGUCCCUUUUGCUAAACACAGACAUCUCUGCCUUCCUUGUGGAAGACUCCACCUUUCUAUACCGCCCCACUGAUAAGUAUUUCAUGCACAUUUACCAGCCAAGAACACUUUGUCCAACUUUCCCACAAUUUGUAUUAUGAAAUGAAAGGGUUUUUUUUGUCUUCCAAAAAUAUAAAAUUAUGUUUUGAUGCUGGCUCUGUUGUUCCGAGCUAUACCCUUUUGCUUCCCCUCGCCUUCCUUAUCUUAGUUCUAGUAUACCCCCAGAAGAUCACCCCCACAUCACAAAUGGAACAGGUGGGCAGUGCCCGGUGAUGAGCUGCAGGUGACAGGCACUCACUAAACAGUGGGUCCCCACACCCUGCAGAGGAAAGGAGACCUGCAGGCAGACCCUGCAGCCAUGGCCAGAUGAAGGUCAAUCCGAGUCCGGUUUCGAGUAGCACCUCUGCAGACCCCCACGUGUAGAUAAGUUCCUUAAUAUCAUCUCAUAGCUCUCUUCACUUUUUAAACAAGUAGACCUUAUUUUUUUUAGAGCAGUUUUAGGCUUGCAGAAAAUACAGAAACUUUCAGUAUAUCCCCUCCGCCCACUCUCCCAGUUGUCUGCCCCAUUGCUAACCUCUUGCAUUGGUGUGGUGCAUUUGUUACAAUGGGUGAACCCAUACUGAUACACUAUUAUUAGCUCCAGUUCAUAGUUUACUUUAGGGUUCCUUCUCUGUGUUAGACAGUUCUACGGGUUUUGGCAAAUGCGUUGUCUCCACACCCAUCAUUACGGUACCAUACAGAAUUGUUUUUCUGCCUUAAGAUUGCCCCGUGCUCCGGCUACGCAUCACCCCCCUCCUUCUACCCUGGGCCCAGUUUUCUUCACUUUUUCUUCAGUGCAUUUACUGCAGUUGUAAAGAUCGAAUUUGGAAUUACUUGAUUAAAAUCGGCCUUCCCCACGGGACCGUAAGCAGCUUCACGAGGGCAACCGCUACGUCGGGCUUUGCCACACUGUGUCUCCUGGGCUUUCUCACAGUGCAUGGCAUAUGUUAGUGUAAACAGUUGAACAAAUGAAUGAAUGAAUGAGUGAAUGAGAAGUGAAGUAGAGGCAAUGAAGGAGGCUGGAGGAAGGAGGUGUCAGGGCAAGAAGAGGAAGCCUCACCCAAAUCAACAUUGCCCAUCCCAGGAGCCUCCCUUUGAAGACAAUGAAAUGGCAAAGCAAAACUGUUCUGGAACCAAGUGGCUGAUAACCCACGCUGGGGUUAUCCUGGCGAUUUUCAUCCACUUGGCUCCCCAAGUUGCUGCUCGACCGCUCUCUGACCUGGAUUCACUGAGGACACAUCAGGGCCUUUGCCACGGGGUCCAUGGAGUGGCCGGAGCCCGGGGCUGGGUGAGUGUGGGGUGGGUCUGAAGGGGAGGAUGUGCAUCUAGAGACCAGGCCAGCCCCUGCAGGAUUUUCUGAUGUCAAAUCGCCUGUCCUGUGCCUGAGCCCCAUCGCCUUAGCAGAAUGAGGACACGCGCCUCCCCUGGGCUUCCCCAGCGUGGCCUGAGUGAGUGUCUCCCCAGCUGCAGUGUUUGCAAUCAGCAGGUCAAGAGGGGACCCUCCUGCCCGGCUCCCAUGGCGCUGCUGCUCCUUCUAGCAGUCCCAGCUUAACCCCCACACUUCUUAUACUGGUCCCAGGGCCCUCCAUGGGUUAGGGUGUAGAAGGAGGUUGUGCUGGUUAAAAACACCAGGUGGAAAUCUCUUUUCUCUGAAUGCUGAUGGAGUGCUGUUAAAGAGACAGUUCUUUUCAGUCUAGUUGGAUCCUGGGUGAAGACUCAGGCCUUGCUCAAGAAGGGAGACCACCCAUGUGUGCUGUCCCAUGUUUCCAGGGAGGAGGCUGGAAGUCCAAGAUCAAGGUCCUGGUAGGUUUGGCUUCUGGUGAGGGCUCUCUCCAUGGCCAGGAGCUUCUUCCACUCCUGGGCACAGAUGGGCCCUGUUAGACUGUUGCCUUGCUCCCAAUGAAUCAUGCCCCCUCCCACUGCCUCUGGGGUUGUGUCUAUGAUGUCCUCUUCCUGGGGACAAAUGCAGCUUCAGCUGCUAUAGGCUGGGACUGUGGCCCUCCCUGCACCAGUCCCAGGGCCCAGCUUCCCCAGGCCACUAGCACUGCUCCAGGAACAGUGUCCAAGUCAGUCCCGACUGCUAAUAGAAUCCCACGGACUGAGUGGCUUCAGGAACAGGAAUUUAUUUCUCACAGUUCUGGAAGUCCAAGAUCAGGGUGCUGGCAGAUUUGGCUCCUGGUAAGGGUUCUCUUCAGGCUCGCAGACAGCUGCCUUCUUGCUGUAACCUCACAUGGUGGAGAGAAAACUCUGGUGUCUCUUCCUUUUCUUAUAACGGCACUAAUUCCAUCGUGGAUCCCCCCACCCUCAUGACCUCAUUGAAACCUAACGACCUUUCAGAGGCCCCACUUCCUAAUACUGUCACACUGGGGGUAGGCCUUCCACAUACCAAUUUGGAGACACACAAACAUUUAGUCCAUAAAAAAUGGGCAGGUGGCCCAGACUAAGCUAAUCACAUCCUUUCCUGGGCCUGUCAGGAACCUUCUCUGGCUUUUGGUUUGUUUGUAUUUUAAAAUAGAAAUAGGCAGAUCUGUGAGAAGGUGAGGUGAGAGUUGCAGGCAGCCACCUACCUGCCCAGGGGAGGAUGCCCUUUUGCAAUAGGAAAGAAUGAAGACAGCACAAAGAGAGACGUGGAGGAGGAAGACGGAGAAGGAGGGGCGCUUUCGCCUCCCUGGACCCAGUGGGCCCUGAGAUCUGCUUCUAACCUGUGUUUUCUCUAUUGAUUUUUGUCAGCUAAUAAGUCUCUCUUUCUACAUACAUUCAUUGAAGUUCCAUUUGUUUUCCUUGCCAGUAAAAGAAUGCUGACAACCUCAGGAUUGGGCAAGGAGCUAGUCCUUUUCCCCUCUUGAGAGAUGGGGUAGCAGAGUAGUAGGAGCAGAGCGGCCAGGCUGUCUGGAUUUGAAGUUGUACAUGUUGGUCUGGGCAAAAUUUUCAACUUCCUGCGCCUCAGUUUCUUAUCUGUAAAGUGGGGUUAAUAAUAGUGCCUACCUCGUGCAGUCAGGGAUGAGGAUUAAGUGAGUUAUAUAUGUAAGGUGCUUUGCACACUGCCUGGUGUGCAGUCAGCUCAGCAUCUGUGAGCUGAUUUCCAUCUCCCUUGGGUCUUGUGGCCUGUGAACGCAGCCUUACUUGGCCCAAGUGCUGAAGGAAAUGGAACGCACCCUGAGUGAGACAGCAAUACUCUCUUGUGACCCAGUUAGUAGCCAGCUGGCAGAUUUCUGGUAUUGCUCACUGCUGAGAGGGGCCGCUGGGUGCCUGAUGAGUCCUGGGAAAUGCCUGGGGCAGGGUGGCUGGCCUGGGCCUGUCUGCCCUGGGAUGCCCCUCCCAGAGCUCUCAGCAUGGCAGCACUAAGGCCAGCUGCCUUAGUGGGGCCAGCUGGACCCUACUUGGGAGGAUAGAGAAGUGGAAAGAACUCUGGGCCUGCAACCCAGCAGUUGUACACCGUGGUUUCCUAGAGGAACUCAUGCACAUGUGUCCUGGAGACCUGCAAGAGAACAGCACCAUGGAGAUGACCAGCAACUAAUACCACCCAAAGGCCCACCAACAGGAGAAUGGAUACCCCAGCAGGGGUGCAGGCAUGCAAUGGAACAAACCACGUACUGGUGAGAGUGAAUCAAUGACGGCCACAUGCAUCAACGCCGAUGAGGCUGAGACUCGUAAUAUCAAAUUUAGAAUUGCAAGUAGCAGAAGGAUCAAAGUUAUAUUUGUAAUAAAGCUUAAACACAAGCAAA
Molecule: long non-coding RNA, 5818 nt
Organism: Pan troglodytes (chimpanzee)
Lineage: Eukaryota; Metazoa; Chordata; Mammalia; Primates; Hominidae
Exons: 2
Source: RefSeq, a predicted model, not a curated record